Molecule: ribosomal RNA, 790 nt
Filed under: Thryonomys swinderianus (greater cane rat)
Lineage: Eukaryota; Metazoa; Chordata; Mammalia; Rodentia; Thryonomyidae
Description: 12S rRNA
Source: RNAcentral
UGGCUUUUUUAUUAGUUGUUAGUAGCGUUAUACAUGCAGCAUCCCUCCCAGUGAGCAUGCCCUUUAAAUCAUAACUAAAUGAUCAAAAGGAGCGGGCAUCAAGCACGCUUAAAUCAAGCAGCUCAUAACGCCUUGCUCAGCCACACCCCCACGGGAUACAGCAGUAAUAAAAAUUAAGCAAUAAACGAAAGUUUGAACUUAGUCAUACUACUCAGGGUUGGUCAAUCUCGUGCCAGCCACCGCGGUCAUACGAUUAACCCAAACUAAUAAACUAACGGCGUAAAGGGUGUUUAGGAUUAAAAACAACAAAUAAAAUUAAGAUCUACCUGGGUUGUAAAAUGCUUCAGGUAAAAUAAAAAUCAACACUCCCUCCAACGAAAGUGAUUUUAGCCUUUCUGAAUACACGAAAACUAAGGCCCAAAGCUUAGUCGUAAAAAUAAAAUAUUCAUAACAAAAUAUUUCGCCCGAGAACUACGAGCCACUGCUUAAAACUCAAAGGACUUGGCGGUGCUUUAUACCCACCUAGAGGAGCCUGUUUUAUAAUCGAUAAACCCCGAUACACCUCACCAUCUCUUGCUUAUAACAGUCUAUAUACCGCCAUCUUCAGCGAACCCUAAAAAGGCAAAAAAGUAAGCAUAAUCAUCUAAUCAUGAAAACGUUAGGUCAAGGUGUAACUUAUGAGAUGGAAAAAAUGGGCUACAUUUUCUUAACAGAAUAUCCACGAUAAUCAUUAUGAAACUAAUGAUAGAAGGCGGAUUUAGUAGUAAAUUAAGAAUAGAGAGCUUAAUUG